GCCAGCCAUGGUGGCAUGCCUGUAGUCCCGCUACUCAGGAGGCUAAGGCAGGACGAUCACUUGAGCCAAGGAGCUCUGGGCUGUGCUAUGCCAACUGGGUGUCCGCACUAAGUUUGGCAUCAAUAUGGUGACCCCCAGAAGCUGGGACCACUAGGUUGCCUAAGAAGUGGUGAAAGGGCCCCGGUUGGAAACAAAGCACGUCAAAAGUCCCACGCUGAUCAUAGGAGAGGUAAGUGACUAGUGAGGUAAAGCUCGCACAGCAAGGUGAGGGUU
This 273-nucleotide signal recognition particle RNA is filed under the name Ursus americanus (American black bear). RNAcentral's name for it is "Metazoan signal recognition particle RNA (ENSUAMG00000012840.1)". It matches the Rfam family "Metazoan signal recognition particle RNA". Rfam says of the family: The signal recognition particle (SRP) is a universally conserved ribonucleoprotein. It is involved in the co-translational targeting of proteins to membranes. The eukaryotic SRP consists of a 300-nucleotide 7S RNA and six proteins: SRPs 72, 68, 54, 19, 14, and 9. The record is from Rfam by way of RNAcentral. Lineage: Eukaryota; Metazoa; Chordata; Mammalia; Carnivora; Ursidae.